CUUUCUGAGGAGCUGAAGUCGCUUGGCUUUUGGCUCCUGCCUCAUGCUGCACCUGAGAUGUGUGAUAAUCUCUCAGAAAUGUGCUGCUUGUCAAGUCUUAUGGCUUAAUUAUAAACAUUAACGAAAGUCAGCUACAGCUUAAGAGGCUUGCCCAUCUGUUUCUGCACUUGAUGGAUGGUUGUGAUUCCACUCCAGGAGGCUCUCAAGCCAGCAUCUUUUUCAAGACUGUGUCUCAUUUUCUCUACAUGCAGUUUAUAAGAAUGAGUAGCCACAGUAGGAUAAUUUUUAUUCAUCACCUCAUGUGCCAGAUAAAAUCCUGUCAUGUGGAACUGAGGCCGAGAGCAGGCCUUUGAAGAGCAGAAUAUGAAAAUAUUGUUUGAUCCAAUCACAAUAUGCUUUUUAAGAGUCUAAUCCAUAAAGUCAG
Podarcis raffonei (Aeolian wall lizard) is the source of this 424-nucleotide long non-coding RNA. RefSeq lists it as uncharacterized. NCBI's taxonomy places the organism in Eukaryota, Metazoa, Chordata, Lepidosauria, Squamata, Lacertidae. The record is from RefSeq and is a predicted model, not a curated record. The transcript is spliced from 3 exons.